Molecule: transfer RNA, 85 nt
Filed under: Felis catus (domestic cat)
Lineage: Eukaryota; Metazoa; Chordata; Mammalia; Carnivora; Felidae
Rfam family: tRNA
About the family: Transfer RNA (tRNA) molecules are approximately 80 nucleotides in length. Their secondary structure includes four short double-helical elements and three loops (D, anti-codon, and T loops). Further hydrogen bonds mediate the characteristic L-shaped molecular structure. tRNAs have two regions of fundamental functional importance: the anti-codon, which is responsible for specific mRNA codon recognition, and the 3' end, to which the tRNAs corresponding amino acid is attached (by aminoacyl-tRNA synthetases). tRNAs cope with the degeneracy of the genetic code in two manners: having more than one tRNA (with a specific anti-codon) for a particular amino acid; and 'wobble' base-pairing, i.e. permitting non-standard base-pairing at the 3rd anti-codon position.
Source: Rfam by way of RNAcentral
GCCUGGGUGGCUCAGUUGGUUGAGCGUCCGACUACAGCUCAGGUCAUGAUCUCACGGCUUGCGGGUUCGAGCCCCGCGUCGGGCU